GCGCCCGUGGCUCAAUUGGAUAGAGCAUCUGGCUACGGACCAGAAGGUUGCAGGUUCGAGUCCUGCCGGGCGCA
RNAcentral lists this transfer RNA (74 nucleotides) under Candidatus Omnitrophota bacterium. RNAcentral's name for it is "Candidatus Omnitrophica bacterium tRNA-Arg". It matches the Rfam family "tRNA". From Rfam's summary of the family: Transfer RNA (tRNA) molecules are approximately 80 nucleotides in length. Their secondary structure includes four short double-helical elements and three loops (D, anti-codon, and T loops). The record is from RNAcentral. Lineage: Bacteria; Pseudomonadati; Candidatus Omnitrophota.